GAUAAACGCUGGCGGCGCACAUAAGACAUGCAAGUUGAACGGACUUAAUCGAAAUAUUUAUAUUUUGAAGCGGUUAGUGGCGGACUGGUGAGUAACGCGUAAGGAACCUGCCUAUUAGAGGGGAAUAACAGUGAGAAAUCAUUGCUAAUACCGCAUAUGCCAUAGAUAUCACAUGAUAACAGUGGGAAAGGAGCAAUCCGCUAAUAGAUGGCCUUGCGUCUGAUUAGAUAGUUGGUGGGGUAACGGCCUACCAAGUCGACGAUCAGUAGCCGGACUGAGAGGUUGAACGGCCACAUUGGGACUGAGGCACGGCCCAGAAUCCUACGGGAGGCAGCAGUCGGGAAUAUUGCGCAAUGGAGGAAACUCUGACGCAGUGACGCAGCGUAUAGGAAGAAGGUUUUCGGAUUGUAAACUAUUGUCGUUAGGGAAGAGAAAGGACAGUACCUAAGGAGGAAGCUCCGGCUAACUACGUG
This 473-nucleotide ribosomal RNA is filed under the name uncultured bacterium. Its description in RNAcentral is "partial 16S ribosomal RNA". It matches the Rfam family "Bacterial small subunit ribosomal RNA", at positions 28 to 507 of the family's 1533-position model. The record is from RNAcentral.